Paramuricea clavata is the source of this 325-nucleotide non-coding RNA. The record is from the annotation of a GenBank genome assembly. NCBI's taxonomy places the organism in Eukaryota, Metazoa, Cnidaria, Anthozoa, Malacalcyonacea, Plexauridae.
CUAUAGUUGGCUAAAGUGUAUGUAAGUAAUAAUAAAAUAUAGCAAUGUAAUAUCUAAUAUAAGCAUCCUACACCGAAUGACACCCCGCGACCAUCAUACACCAUCUAUACCAUCUUUACCAUCUGACAGCUCUUCUCUGUAUAACCACCCUACACCAUCAUACACCAUCUGACAACCAUCUGACACGCUUCGACCAUCAUACACCAUCUGACACAUUUCGACCAUCAUACACCAUCUGUACCAUCUUCACCAUCUGACAACCCUUGCCUGUAUAACCACUCUACACCAUCAUACACCAUCUGACAACCAUCUGACACACUUCUAC